RNAcentral lists this ribosomal RNA (380 nucleotides) under Manohyphella sp. BYU IGCEP200. RNAcentral's name for it is "partial 12S ribosomal RNA". Lineage: Eukaryota; Metazoa; Arthropoda; Insecta; Ephemeroptera; Teloganodidae. The record is from RNAcentral.
AUUAGAUACCCUAUUAUUCUAAAUGUAGAUGUGAACCCCUGAGUAGUAAUAUAGGAGAGAAACUUACAGAAUUUGGCGGUAUUUUAUCUUAUCAGAGGAACUUGUCUUUUAAUUGAUAACCCCCAUUUUAACUAACUUAGGUUCAAGCUUAUAUACCGCCGUCAUCAGAAAAUGUUGGAAAACAAUAUUCUGGAUAUUUAAAAAAUAAUAUGUCAGGUCAAGGUGUAGUUUAUGCCUAAGUAAAGGUGAGUUACAUUAAUAUAAAUUAAACGGAUCGGGCUUGUAAUAGCUUGUAAAGGUGGAUUUGAAAGUAAAUUUUUAAAGAGAGAAAUAUUGAAAGAAGCUCUAGAAUAUGCACACAUCGCCCGUCGCUCUUAAAA